GCAGUGUCAGUUCCUUUUGAAGACAGAAGUGUAUCGCAACACUCUCCACCUGCUUCCCAGGAGUCUGGUGUGCAUUACUCUGCAUCUUCAAGUUGUGACAAAGGGCCUCAGCAUGCAAUGCAAGAUGCAGCAACACAGAGAGAUGAGAGACGUUUGGAGGAAAGCCCACAAUCACACAAUAGAGACCACCCGCACAAGAUGCAACCACUCAGACGGUGCUUACAGAGGAUCCC
Molecule: long non-coding RNA, 233 nt
Organism: Ornithodoros turicata
Lineage: Eukaryota; Metazoa; Arthropoda; Arachnida; Ixodida; Argasidae
Exons: 3
Source: RefSeq, a predicted model, not a curated record